CCCUUAGAGUUUGAUCAUGGCUCAGAACGAACGCUGGCGGCAGGCUUAACACAUGCAAGUCGAGCGCACUCUUCGGAGUGAGCGGCGGACGGGUUAGUAACGCGUGGGAACGUGCCCUUCUCUAAGGAAUAGCCUCUGGAAACGGAGAGUAAUACCGUAUAAGCCCUUCGGGGGAAAGAUUUAUCGGGAAAGGAUUGGCCCGCGUUAGAUUAGAUAGUUGGUGGGGUAAUGGCCUACCAAGUCUACGAUCUAUAGCUGGUUUUAGAGGAUGAUCAGCAACACUGGGACUGAGACACGGCCCAGACUCCUACGGGAGGCAGCAGUGGGGAAUCUUAGACAAUGGGCGCAAGCCUGAUCUAGCCAUGCCGCGUGUGUGAUGAAGGUCUUAGGAUCGUAAAGCACUUUCGCCAGGGAUGAUAAUGACAGUACCUGGUAAAGAAACCCCGGCUAACUCCGUGCCAGCAGCCGCGGUAAUACGGAGGGGGUUAGCGUUGUUCGGAAUUACUGGGCGUAAAGCGUACGUAGGCGGAUUGGAAAGUUGGGGGUGAAAUCCCAGGGCUCAACCCUGGAACUGCCUCCAAAACUAUCAGUCUAGAGUUCGAGAGAGGUGAGUGGAAUUCCAAGUGUAGAGGUGAAAUUCGUAGAUAUUUGGAGGAACACCAGUGGCGAAGGCGGCUCACUGGCUCGAUACUGACGCUGAGGUACGAAAGUGUGGGGAGCAAACAGGAUUAGAUACCCUGGUAGUCCACACCGUAAACGAUG
Molecule: ribosomal RNA, 762 nt
Filed under: uncultured bacterium
Lineage: Bacteria
Description: bacterial SSU rRNA
Rfam family: Bacterial small subunit ribosomal RNA
Source: RNAcentral